CCUUUCUGAAUCCUCCGUAAAUUCCCUAUACUCUUUUCCUCUCUCCCUCUCUACACGAACCCUCUCCCUGACCGUUCAGCUCCUCAGUCUCGCUCUCCACCGUCGACGCUGGGUCUCUGCCAUGGUCGCUUCCCUCGUCGCCUGCCCUCGACGCUGCCCUUCUUUCUAUCGGUCUCCACACUCGCCACCCUCGAGCUCACCACGCGUCUUGCCCGCCAUUUUUUCUGUCGGUCUCCACGCGUCUCGGUAGGCCUCGUCUCGCUCCGCCCUCAUAUCGUCUCUGUCGCUCCACCUUCGUCUCACUUGUCUUCUCCGCUUCUGUUCAAAGAAGUGGCACGGACAAAAUGGAUUGAAAUUCAAGUUAUAACAGUGGUUUGAGCAUACCCAUUUUGAAUGGAAUUGAGAAAGUGGAGAUUGAUUGUUCAAAAGAAGGGAAUCUGGAAGCUGAAGAAAAAGGAGUAUAAUAUUAAAUUAAAUUGUUUGUGAAAAUGGAUGCCCUCGUCAAGGAAGCUGGUAGAAGUAUUUUAUUUGAUUAAUCUCAUUGCUUUUUAUUGCGUUAAUCAUUCUUUUCUUGGUUUAUAAUUUUUUAUAGGUAAACAACACAGUGUAGUUCUUCCAGAGAAAAAUGGAAUGUUUAUAGAUCCGUUCGUUCUCCAAUGAAGCUUUUGAGUCGGUUUGAUGAUCAUCCUGAAAUCGGGACAUUGCAUGAUAAUUUUGUGCUUCUUGACCCUGAUCUGGAAAGCUCUUGGUCUCUUUUUGUUGGCAACUAUAUCUGGAACUUAUAUUGCAUCUUCCCUCGCAAAUAGGGCAGCACAUUCCACACUUGUUUGUUGCUCUUGUUAGACUUGUGCAAUCAGCUUCGAUAGCAGGAUUGGAAAGCUUAUAGCUUCAAAGCUUUAACUCCUUGUGCACGCUUAAAUGUAUUUUUUUUGUAUUUUCAUUUAAUUAGAAUUCGU
Non-coding RNA from Durio zibethinus, 956 nucleotides. Lineage: Eukaryota; Viridiplantae; Streptophyta; Magnoliopsida; Malvales; Malvaceae. The record is from RefSeq and is a predicted model, not a curated record.